AUAUGUUCAUUUUGAUUGGUCAUUCUUUUUUUUUAAGUUAAUAAUAUAUUUUCAUUUUUAAUAAUUAAAUUAAUUAAAUUGCAUAAAUUAGUAUUUGACUUGUUUAUCCUUAAUGAGCUUAAUUAAUUUAUUCUUGAAAUUUUUAUCUCUAAUGGCAUUCGAAUGUAAUAACUUACAAAGAAGAAGGUUAUUAAAGGGUAAUUAUAAAUUGUACUUCCCAAAUAAUAGUAUAGGAUGUAUAUAUAUGUGAAUAUGAAUCAAAUUUGGAUAAUUUUCAUGUUAAUGACUAACUAUAAACCAGCCUUUAUAUAUUAAAUGAUUGCUUGGAGUGCCAAUAGCAUUUGCUUGCUUCACAAUAACAUCGACAUCGGAUGCAACAUUCCUGUCACGUUUAAUAUAAUCCAAAGACAAACUUAUAUCAUAUAAGAUUGCUUGAGUAAUUACCUGAUAAAAUUAACCGCAAGGCAACAUAUUUAAAGAGAUACAAACAAACCGGGUUCCCACGGAACAAACUUAAUUUGGUUUUUAAUAGUCAAAAUCGCAGAAGCUGGCAGUCCAACAACAAAGGGAGGUAGACCGCCAGGAUCUUCGGUGAAGCAGACGGUCGAGCAACAGAUGGAGGUAGACCGCCAAAAGUAGAUUGCCAGGAUCUUCGGUGAAGCAGGCGGUCAAGCAACACAGAGAGGUAGACCACUGGAAGUAGACUGCCGAGAUUUUUGGUAAAGCAGGCGGUCUACUCCUAGCACUCUACCUCUUAUGUAGCUGAACCGCAUGCUUUAUGUGAAGCAUUUGUCUUCUUUUAUGUUUCUUUGCACCCAAAGUGCCUUUUCCUCCAAACUGUAAAAAAACCUGUAAAAACUCGAUAAAGGACUAACCGACUCUAAAAACACACUUUGACUCAAUAAAAUAUAUGAAAUAAGAAAGAAAACAAAGAUUCAAAACCGAAAAAAACAAGUUACAUCAAUAGAGACGAGGACCCAAAAAAGAUAAUCACCUUUCGUGUUUAUCAAUUGGACUAUCUCCAAACAAACAAUUUGAAGACUAUGCGACCAAACCAAUUGAAAAAACAUGUAAAAAUCCGAGAGCAUCCAUACUAAAAGACGAUUGAGAAGAUUACAGCUUUGCACAUCCAUAUGUAAAAUUUGGCCGUAACACUUUAAAAACACUAAAAUCUAAUGGCAUCUUAUGUAAUAGUUUACCCUUCAUAAAGUUAUUUAAUAUGUAGUGAUUCCCAAUU
This 1237-nucleotide long non-coding RNA is filed under the name Arabidopsis lyrata. RNAcentral describes it as "long non-coding RNA (ALYR_LNC002365)". Lineage: Eukaryota; Viridiplantae; Streptophyta; Magnoliopsida; Brassicales; Brassicaceae. The record is from RNAcentral.